This 750-nucleotide ribosomal RNA is filed under the name Pseudarthrobacter defluvii. RNAcentral describes it as "bacterial SSU rRNA". It matches the Rfam family "Bacterial small subunit ribosomal RNA", at positions 56 to 819 of the family's 1533-position model. The record is from RNAcentral. Lineage: Bacteria; Bacillati; Actinomycetota; Actinomycetes; Micrococcales; Micrococcaceae.
UGCAAGUCGAACGAUGAAGCCCAGCUUGCUGGGUGGAUUAGUGGCGAACGGGUGAGUAACACGUGAGUAACCUGCCCUUGACUCUGGGAUAAGCCUGGGAAACUGGGUCUAAUACCGGAUAUGACCUUCCAUCGCAUGGUGGUUGGUGGAAAGCUUUUGUGGUUUUGGAUGGACUCGCGGCCUAUCAGCUUGUUGGUGGGGUAAUGGCCUACCAAGGCGAUGACGGGUAGCCGGCCUGAGAGGGUGACCGGCCACACUGGGACUGAGACACGGCCCAGACUCCUACGGGAGGCAGCAGUGGGGAAUAUUGCACAAUGGGCGCAAGCCUGAUGCAGCGACGCCGCGUGAGGGAUGACGGCCUUCGGGUUGUAAACCUCUUUCAGUAGGGAAGAAGCGAAAGUGACGGUACCUGCAGAAGAAGCGCCGGCUAACUACGUGCCAGCAGCCGCGGUAAUACGUAGGGCGCAAGCGUUAUCCGGAAUUAUUGGGCGUAAAGAGCUCGUAGGCGGUUUGUCGCGUCUGCUGUGAAAGACCGGGGCUCAACUCCGGUUCUGCAGUGGGUACGGGCAGACUAGAGUGAUGUAGGGGAGACUGGAAUUCCUGGUGUAGCGGUGAAAUGCGCAGAUAUCAGGAGGAACACCGAUGGCGAAGGCAGGUCUCUGGGCAUUAACUGACGCUGAGGAGCGAAAGCAUGGGGAGCGAACAGGAUUAGAUACCCUGGUAGUCCAUGCCGUAAACGUUGGGCACUAG